Molecule: ribosomal RNA, 253 nt
Filed under: uncultured bacterium
Lineage: Bacteria
Description: partial 16S ribosomal RNA
Rfam family: Bacterial small subunit ribosomal RNA
Source: RNAcentral
GACAGAGGCCUCGAGCGUUAGGCGGAAUCACUGGGCUUAAAGCGUGUGUAGGCGGGCCCGUAAGUACCUUGUGAAAUCCCACGGCUCAACCGUGGAACGGCUGGGUAUACUGCGGGUCUUGGGCCAACUAGGGGCAACCGGAACAAACGGUGGAGCGGUGAAAUGCGUAGAUAUCGUUUGGAACGCCAAUGGUGAAAACAGGUUGCUGGGAGUGCGCUGACGCUGAGACACGAAAGCCAGGGGAGCAAACGGG